AGAUAAUCAACAAUAAUUCUCAAGACAAAUACUCAGAAUCCAAACCCAGCAAACUAAUUAUGCAGAAACAAGUUUCUAGAGUUUUAGGAAACAAAGAAAAGAAGAGUACUUGAGAUUACUUGAAAAAAAAUAAUUAGAAACGAAUUAAUUGUGACUAAUCAGUAACAAACGUAAAACAAACAACAACUCAAUUAGAUUUCAGUCACUCAGAAUCAGUAAAAUUAAUAAAAUAAACAAAUAUAAACCGAAGCAAACAUACUCAUAAUCAUAAAUAUUAUUGGGUUAUUCCAGAGUCCGUUCCGUAAUCAUAUAAAACUGCUCCUCCAGAAUGGCUAGUGAUACAAAGGUACAACUUCAAGUGCAGAGAGUAGAUUUAACGAGGUACGACUCGCCACCAAAGAUCUUAUCAAAAUAGUUCUUGCCAUCCAAAUCUAACGAUUCUGGAGUUCUUCGAUCGAGAAAAGCGUGGCUGUUAGUGUUACUAGCCUGUUGACAAAAUUAUUUUGACAAAACCCUAGAAACAGAAACACCGAUGUUCCAUGAGGGAACAAAGCGAAGAGUAAGCGAAAAUUAAGAGAGGAUUUUGUUGGUAGAUUCUGAGUAUUGAAAAUUUUGUUGAGAAGGGUCAGAUGAAGGAGCUCACGGUAAAGAAUUAGAAUGAGAG
This is a non-coding RNA of Arachis ipaensis, 664 nucleotides long. Lineage: Eukaryota; Viridiplantae; Streptophyta; Magnoliopsida; Fabales; Fabaceae. The record is from RefSeq and is a predicted model, not a curated record.